RNAcentral lists this ribosomal RNA (606 nucleotides) under uncultured fungus. RNAcentral's name for it is "eukaryotic LSU rRNA". The stretch from base 237 to 390 matches the Rfam family "5.8S ribosomal RNA". The record is from RNAcentral. Lineage: Eukaryota; Fungi.
CUAGGGUCAUUUAGAAGGAAGUAAAAGUCGUAACAAGGUCUCCGUUGGUGAACCAGCGGAGGGAUCAUUACAGAGUUCUAAAAGACUCCCAAAACCAUUGUGAACGUACCCGUCAGCGUUGCCUCGGCGGGCGGCCCCUCCCUGGGGCCGCUGCCUCCCUCGGGGGGUGCCCGCCGGCGUACCAAAACUCUUUUGUAUUUUAGUGGCCUCUCUGAGAAAACAAGCAAAUAAGUUAAAACUUUCAACAACGGAUCUCUUGGUUCUGGCAUCGAUGAAGAACGCAGCGAAAUGCGAUAAGUAAUGUGAAUUGCAGAAUUCAGUGAAUCAUCGAAUCUUUGAACGCACAUUGCGCCCGCCAGUACUCUGGCGGGCAUGCCUGUUCGAGCGUCAUUUCAACCCUCAAGCCCUGCUUGGUGUUGGGGUCCUACGGCUGCCGUAGGCCCUGAAAGCUAGUGGCGGGCUCGCUAUAACUCCGAGCGUAGUAGUAAAAUAUCUCGCUAGGGAGGUGUCGCGGGUUCCGGCCGUGAAAGCCCAUCUUUUACACAAGGUUGACCUCGGAUCAGGUAGGAAUACCCGCUGAACUUAAGCAUAUCAAUAAGCGGAGGA